This 253-nucleotide ribosomal RNA is filed under the name uncultured bacterium. RNAcentral describes it as "partial 16S ribosomal RNA". It matches the Rfam family "Bacterial small subunit ribosomal RNA", at positions 524 to 776 of the family's 1533-position model. The record is from RNAcentral.
UACGGGGGGGGCAAGCGUUGUUCGGAAUUACUGGGCGUAAAGGGCUCGUAGGCGGCCAACUAAGUCAGACGUGAAAUCCCUCGGCUUAACCGGGGAACUGCAUCUGAUACUGGAUGGCUUGAGAUUGGGAGAGGGAUGCGGAAUUCCAGGUGUAGCGGUGAAAUGCGUAGAUAUCUGGAGGAACACCGGUGGCGAAGGCGGCAUCCUGGACCAACAUUGACGCUGAGGCGCGAAAGCCAGGGGAGCAAACGGG